GUGAGAAUAUUUUUUUUUUUUUUACCAAAAUUAAGGUGAGAAUCUAAGUGAGGAUUUUCUGUUGGAUUCAGAGCGGAGACGCAUUUUUCCGUCGGAGUCAAUUGGAUCUCGUCAUGCCUGUAUAAAGCUGGUCUUUUUAUUAAUUUUUUUAAAAUUACAUUUUUACCAACAAGUGGGACCCCAAUUCAAAAGCUCGGAUCUUGAAAAUGGACGGCCCAGAUCUGGUGAAAAUUUCCACUGGACCCACAUUUACCCCAAUAUGUUACCCCAAUCAUCAUUAGGCCCAUCUCUUUACCCGUGCCUCAGACACUUCUCUAUUCAUAUCUCCCUUCACGAUAGAGAGAGAGAGAGAGAGAG
Molecule: unclassified non-coding RNA, 357 nt
Filed under: Hevea brasiliensis (rubber tree)
Lineage: Eukaryota; Viridiplantae; Streptophyta; Magnoliopsida; Malpighiales; Euphorbiaceae
Source: RNAcentral